UGGGGAAUUUUGGACAAUGGGCGCAAGCCUGAUCCAGCCAUGCCGCGUGCAGGAUGAAGGCCUUCGGGUUGUAAACUGCUUUUGUACGGAACGAAAAGGUGCCUUCUAAUAAAGGGCGCUCAUGACGGUACCGUAAGAAUAAGCACCGGCUAACUACGUGCCAGCGGCCGCGGUAAUACGUAGGGUGCGAGCGUUAAUCGGAAUUACUGGGCGUAAAGCGUGCGCAGGCGGUUUUGUAAGACAGAGGUGAAAUCCCCGGGCUCAACCUGGGAACUGCCUUUGUGACUGCAAGGCUGGAGUGCAGCAGAGGGGGAUGGAAUUCCGCGUGUAGCAGUGAAAUGCGUAGAUAUGCGGAGGAACACCGAUGGCGAAGGCAAUCCCCUGGGCCUGCACUGACGCUCAUGCACGAAAGCGUGGGGAGCAAACA
Molecule: ribosomal RNA, 427 nt
Filed under: uncultured bacterium
Lineage: Bacteria
Description: bacterial SSU rRNA
Rfam family: Bacterial small subunit ribosomal RNA
Source: RNAcentral